Molecule: ribosomal RNA, 263 nt
Filed under: uncultured archaeon
Lineage: Archaea
Description: partial 16S ribosomal RNA
Rfam family: Archaeal small subunit ribosomal RNA
Source: RNAcentral
ACACGACUACAUUAGAUACCCCUGUAGUCCUAGGCGUAAAUGAUGCGAGUUAAGUNUGGGGGCAUCUACGAGAUGGCCCUGUGCUGUAGGGUAGCCGUUAAACUCGCUGCCUGGGGAGUACGGUCGCAAGGCUGAGACUUAAAGGAAUUGGCGGGGAGCACCACAAGAGGUGGAGGCUGCGGUUCAAUUGGACUCAACGCCGGAAACUCAUCGGGAGCGACAGCAGUAUGAUUGCCAGGUUGAUGACCUUGCUUGACAAGCUG